AUCCAGAUGACGAGUUCCAAACAAGACGAAGAGCACGUCCUGGAU
Molecule: non-coding RNA, 45 nt
Organism: Schistosoma mansoni
Lineage: Eukaryota; Metazoa; Platyhelminthes; Trematoda; Strigeidida; Schistosomatidae
Source: Rfam